RNAcentral lists this transfer RNA (73 nucleotides) under Pteropus alecto (black flying fox). It matches the Rfam family "tRNA". From Rfam's summary of the family: Transfer RNA (tRNA) molecules are approximately 80 nucleotides in length. Lineage: Eukaryota; Metazoa; Chordata; Mammalia; Chiroptera; Pteropodidae. The record is from Rfam by way of RNAcentral.
GGUUCCAUAGUGUAGCGGUUAGCACAUCCGUUUUACACGCAGACGGUCCUGGGUUCAUGCCCCACUGGAGCCA